UACGUAGGUGGCAAGCGUUGUCCGGAUUUAUUGGGUUUAAAGGGCGCGUAGGCGGGCUGUCAAGUCUGGGGUGAAAUCCCGCGGCUCAACCGUGGAACUGCCUCAGAUACUGACGGCCUCGAGGGGGAUAGGGGCGAGCGGAACGGAUGGUGGAGCGGUGAAAUGCGUUGAUAUCAUCCGGAACCCCAGAGGCGAAGGCGGCGCUCUGGCUCGCAACUGACGCUCAGACACGACAGCAUGGGGAGCGAACGGG
This 253-nucleotide ribosomal RNA is filed under the name uncultured bacterium. Its description in RNAcentral is "partial 16S ribosomal RNA". It matches the Rfam family "Bacterial small subunit ribosomal RNA", at positions 524 to 776 of the family's 1533-position model. The record is from RNAcentral.